GCCAGGUGUGGUGGUGCACACCUGUAAUCCCAGCUACUCGGGAGGCUGAGGCAGGAGAAUUGCUUGAACCCAGGAGGUGGAAGCUGCAGUGAGCUGAGAUGGCACCACUGCACUCCAGCCUGGGUGACAGAGUGAGAUUCUGUCUCAG
This 148-nucleotide non-coding RNA is filed under the name Homo sapiens (human). The record is from Rfam by way of RNAcentral. Lineage: Eukaryota; Metazoa; Chordata; Mammalia; Primates; Hominidae.